CACGUAGGGUGCGAGCGUUGUCCGGAAUUAUUGGGCGUAAAGAGCUCGUAGGCGGUGUGUCGCGUCGGCCGUGAAAACCUGCAGCUUAACUGUGGGCUUGCGGUCGAUACGGGCAUCACUGGAGUUCGGCAGGGGAGACUGGAAUUCCUGGUGUAGCGGUGAUAUGCGCAGAUAUCAGGAGGAACACCGGUGGCGAAGGCGGGUCUCUGGGCCGAUACUGACGCUGAGGCGCGAAAGCGUGGGGAGCAAACAGG
RNAcentral lists this ribosomal RNA (254 nucleotides) under uncultured bacterium. RNAcentral's name for it is "partial 16S ribosomal RNA". It matches the Rfam family "Bacterial small subunit ribosomal RNA", at positions 524 to 776 of the family's 1533-position model. The record is from RNAcentral.